This 373-nucleotide ribosomal RNA is filed under the name uncultured organism. RNAcentral describes it as "partial 16S ribosomal RNA". It matches the Rfam family "Bacterial small subunit ribosomal RNA", at positions 527 to 896 of the family's 1533-position model. The record is from RNAcentral.
GUAGGUGGCAAGCGUUGUCCGGAAUUAUUGGGCGUAAAGCGCGCGCAGGUGGGUUCUUUAAGUCUGAUGUGAAAGCCCCCGGGCUCAACCGGGGAGGGUCAUUGGAAACUGGGGAACUUGAGUGCAGGAGAGGAAAGUGGAAUUCCACGUGUAGCGGUGAAAUGCGUAGAUAUGUGGAGGAACACCAGUGGCGAAGGCGACUUUCUGGCCUGUAACUGACACUGAGGCGCGAAAGCGUGGGGAGCAAACAGGAUUAGAUACCCUGGUAGUCCACGCCGUAAACGAUGAGUGCUAAGUGUUGGGGGGUUUCCGCCCCUCAGUGCUGCAGCUAACGCAUUAAGCACUCCGCCUGGGGAGUACGGUCGCGAGACUG